AGCAGCCGCGGUAAUUCCAGCUCCAAUAGCGUAUAUUAAAGUUGUUGCAGUUAAAAAGCUCGUAGUUGAAUUUCGGGAUUUGUCAGUUGGUCAGGCUUCACUGUCCGUAUUGACUUGAUGGAUUCUUACCUUCUGAAUAACCAGCAUGCUAUUAAGUUAGUGCGUUGGGGAAGCAGAUCUAUUACCUUGAAAAAAUUAGAGUGCUUAAAGCGAGCUAGUGCUUGAAUAGAUUAGCAUGGAAUAAUAAAAUAGGACGGCAUGGUUCUAUUUUGUUGGUUUCUAGGAUCACCGUAAUGAUUAAUAGGGAUAGUUGGGGGCAUUAGUAUUCAAUUGUCAGAGGUGAAAUUCUUGGAUUUAUUGAAGACUAACUUCUGCGAAAGCAUUUGCCAAGGAUGUUUUCAUUAAUCAAGAACGAAAGUUAGGGGAUCGAAGACGAUCAGAUACCGUCGUAGUCUUAACCAUAAACUAUGCCGACUAGGAAUCGGACGAUGUUAAUUUUAUAAUGACUCGUUCGGCACCU
RNAcentral lists this ribosomal RNA (520 nucleotides) under uncultured Acaulospora. RNAcentral's name for it is "SSU rRNA". It matches the Rfam family "Eukaryotic small subunit ribosomal RNA", at positions 569 to 1088 of the family's 1831-position model. Lineage: Eukaryota; Fungi; Glomeromycota; Glomeromycetes; Diversisporales; Acaulosporaceae. The record is from RNAcentral.